AGCCGACUGACGAAUCACAAAUAGGACGAAACUCGAGUUCUGGAU
This 45-nucleotide non-coding RNA is filed under the name Schistosoma margrebowiei. The record is from RNAcentral. Lineage: Eukaryota; Metazoa; Platyhelminthes; Trematoda; Strigeidida; Schistosomatidae.